Long non-coding RNA from Cryptomeria japonica (Japanese cedar), 4377 nucleotides. RefSeq lists it as uncharacterized. The record is from RefSeq and is a predicted model, not a curated record. Lineage: Eukaryota; Viridiplantae; Streptophyta; Pinopsida; Cupressales; Cupressaceae. The transcript has 2 exons.
GUCACCAAACCCUAAAUAACAAGACCUAACCCUAAAAUGAGAAUUUUGAAUUACGCUCGACACCGUCCACAAACCAUUCAAACUCUAAUCAGCAACCUGUUUUUGCUUUGCCCUUCUUUUGUUUUCUUUUUUCUGUGUAGACCAGAGCAGCAGUGGCCAUGGAAGAAUGGGCCUGCAGAACUGGCGUUGAGGGCGGCAUUUUUGAGUGUGUUUGUUUUUUUAAAAGAUUUUUUAGUGAAUGAGGAUCAGGGCGGUUGGAACGGCAUGGUUGAACUCUACCCGAUGCGAUCGCAGAUCAUAAAGCUCAAAAUAUCACAUGCCAUUGUGGUGAGCUUCUGAGAGGCCAGAGCGACCUCGUUCACCUGCGCCGCCUUUUGUCACGGCACAAGCCGCUUUCUUGGUUUCUGUCUUCCACAGAUUAACAAGUGGCUCUUCCAGUUUAGGGAUCUGCUUCCGGUAGGAUUAAAAACGUAAUUUUAUUAAAAAUUAGUUACUAAGGUUUAUCAUUUAUUCAAUUUGCAUCGCGUGAUUUAAGAGGUUUCCACUGUAGGUGUGUAACCGAAUCAAAAUGGUACAAAAAAUGAGGAAAUUACACAGGUGUGUAUCUGAGAAGGAAAGGAAGUAUCUAUAAAUUACGAAGUUUCCAAGAAAUUUUCCUUUUUUUGGUCGUUUUUUUAACAAAAUUGGAUAACAGGACUCUAUUUUUCCUUCCAGAGAAGGAAUAAAAAUUGUGGGAUGUAUAUUUGAAAAAAUUGGUAGCGUGCAUUGGGUCGUUGCACGGCUUUCAUCAUAGGGUAUCUAAGCUCAAAAAUGUCCAAAAGGGUCAAGAAGCGGCUACGAUCGAUUAGUAAUAAAUGAAGAUACGGAAGAAUUCGAAGCAGCUUUUUAAUACAUCUUUGAGGGAUCAUUAAGCUGUGCAGCACAAUUAUAAUCGAUAAAAAAAUUUCAGACGGAAUUUUUUUCGGGAUUCCAACUGGGUGGCACAACUUAUCGAUCCUUCAAUAAUGUAUUGAAGAGCUGUUUCAAUUUUUUUUUUCAAUUGGAUGCCUUUUCAAAACCAAUAUACGAGAUGCUGAGGGUUACUAUUUUUUGCUGGAGCUCCGUACAUUCAGUUAUGUUCUCGGACAUUUGGGAUUAGAUACCCUACUAUGGAAAGCCUUGUGAGACCAUUAGCGCUCUCAAUUUAUAUCGUAAGCAUUCAGUUAUGUUCUCGGACAUUUGGGAUUAGAUACCCUACUAUGGAAAGCCUUGUGAGACCAUUAGCGCUCUCAAUUUAUAUCGUAAGUGUAAUAUGCUUCACACAUACUCAAGCUAGAAGAGCCAUACCAGCCCAAAUGGCGUUAGAUGUUAGAUGUCUUAUGGCAGUCCUGAAAGAUCUAUACAAGGAAUUAUAGACCCUAGAUAUAAGUAGCACGCUGAAUACCCUUCAAUAGUAAGCGAGUUUAGGUAACCUGCGUCAAAGUACUGAAAUGGAAGGGGCCAACCCCUGUUCCCAUGCUUAAGUCAAUUUUCUGGUUAAAGUGUCCCCUAAGUUUUAAAUUAUAGUGAAAAGGAUAAUCUAUAGAAUAGCAGUAGAAAAAAUGGAGGGGCUAAAAAUAUUUCUCAUUUUAUACCCUCCAAAAUUUUGUGCAUAAAUUUUCUAAUAAUAAUAGUAUUAAAAUAAUUUAUUAUUCAUAUUUUCACGGAGUGCUGCGGAUACUGUUCAUACAGUUUGCUGAUAGUUUUUUGUACAAAUCCUUUGGAGGUAUGUAUGUCCCUUCCAUUGCUGUUUGUGGAUCUGCUAUUUUUGAGGAUUGUUUUCUUUUAACUUUCUGAAUAUCUUAAAAGCAAAUUUCUGUGUAUUUUAGUCUUAUCUGUUUUCUGAGUGAUAUUGGUUGGUUGCUUUGGUUUAAUCUAGCUAUAUGCCUUAUCUUCGGAUUGAAUAUCUAGUGGAGUUAUAAAUUUGAAGCAGCUACGAUUGAUUAGACUUAAAUGAAAAAAAUAUUUUUCAGUUAUAAUUGAAAAAAGAUUUCCAUCUGAAAAAUUUAACUUAUUGAUUCUUAAAUGAUGUAUUGUAGAGCUACUUCAUUUUUUUUUAAAUUCAGAUUUUUGUCAAAAUUAGUAAUAUAAGAUGCGAGGGUAUUGAUGGAAAGCCCUUUGAGACCAUAAGCGCUCUCAAUAUGUAUUUUGAAAGUAUAGAUAUGCUUUAUGUUAUUCAAGCUAGAAGGGGUACCCCAGACCAAAUGGCCUUAGAUUCUAGAAAUCUUAUCCUAGUCCUGAAAGAUCUAUGCAGGGGAUUAUAGCCUCUAUAUAAUGAGUAGUAAGCUGAAUGCCAUGAUUACAGCAAAUGAGUUCAGUUAACCUGCGCCAAAGUACUGAAAUAGAAGAGGCUGUCAUAUCUUGGUUUUAUUUUGUUGGUGUUGCUUUCAACUAAUUUUUAAUCCUUUAUGAGGAAACCACUGAGUAUUUUAGGCCCAUCCUAUCAAUGACCUAAGAUGUUGGGCAAAGGGCUUUGGCGUGUAGGACAUAAGGUUAAAUUGAUCUGUGGACAUUUAAGGCUAAGAUCGGUUUAGAACCUAUAGUCUACAUGCUUAGACGAUUAUUUCCCUGUUUGUAUGUCGAUUUUAAUGAUUGUUUCGUCAAUUACACCAUUUAGUUUACAAGCCUUCCAUAUUCUCUGUUUCUGAGGUGUUUUUUAUAAGGCUAAGAUAGGUUUUUGAAUUUAUAGUCUACUUGCUUGGACGAUUAUUUGCCUGUUAGUAUAUCGGUUAAAUGAUUGUAAGUAAGAAAACUAGGAGUGUUUUAUCAGUUUGCACUAAUCCUUACAUAUUGUCUGUUCCUGAGGUGUUUUCCAUGUGGUCAGCCUAUCUUUUCUGGUGUUAAGUUGCCGCAUUCUUAGAUUUCCAACAAUGAUUAUUGUUCUUGAUGGUCUGAUCUAGGAUUCAGCAGUUCUUUUGCAGCAUACUGAAAAGUAAUUUUCUUUUUCUAUGGACUGAAAAGUAGUGUUUUGUCAAUUUGCACCAUUUAGUUUACAAUCCUGAGGUGUUUUCCAUGUGGUCAGCCUACCUUUUCUGGUGUUAAGUUGCUGCAUUCUUAGAUUUUCAACAAUUAUUAUUCUUCUUGAUGGUUUGAUCAAGGAUUCAGCAGUUCUUUUGCAGCAUACUGAAAAGAAAUUUUCUUUUUCUAUGGACUUAAAAAUGUACAUUUCAUGCUUGCUUCUGGUUUAUAUUGUGUUUGUUUGCAUCAUCCUGAUGAUGAGUGUGAUCUGAAAGGUAAUGUUGAUGCAAACAAACACACAAUUUAAACCAGAAGCAUCCAUAAUUACUAAUAUGGAUUGGGCAAAACUAAUAUCACUGUUUCAGAGUCCCCAAUCAGUCCCCAAAUCAGUAGGGAAUUGUAGAGACAAUGUGGGAGAAUAUUGUUGGAAGGAAAAAGCUCGAGUUUCAGAAUCUAGAAGCACGAAUACAGCUACAUCAGCAGCUUUUUAGUCAAUGUAAUUGAAACCUGAUGAUAUUGGAUGAUUACUGGUUCAGGGUUCAUUUGGAAGAAUUACUACUGGAAGCGCCAGGGUAAUCAGUUGCUAUUGCUGGGCCACGAGGAUGCUCCCUCGCUUAUCUGCUUCUCGCCUUUGGACAGACAUCAAUUCCAAGUACCGCAAAUGCAAAUCUAGUCAUGGACGAAUAACUACUUGAAGCGGCAGGGUACUAGACUGUUAUCACAACCAGAGACAUUUCUAUUAUCCCUAAAAAGUCCUUUACUUGAUUAUAUUCCAGGAUACCGAAAUGCAAAUCUAGUCAUUGAGGUGCAAGCAUAAUGUAAGUGCCUAACCCUUCCUCUAAAGGGUGAUUGUGAGCUCUUUGAAUGGGGAACCUAUGUGACCUGGUUGAAUGCAAAGAAUUAGGCUUCUCACGGGGAAUUCAUAUUCACUGAGCACAAAGAAGGGCUUUUUAGAUGCUUGAAGGCCAGUGUCGAUCUCUUGGAUGAUUUUGGGAGGGAAAGCUUCUUAGAUUUGUCAUCAUUUCCAGAGAACAAGAAAAACUGUGCACUGCUGGGUUUAUGUUCGGAAGCUGGAGUGGCAAGAUGCCUUUUUUUUUUUAAUGGAACUUGCAAGCGCAAAAAUCUCUAUAAUUGAUUUUUCCAAUGAGCUGAUAUUGUGUCUGUAAUUAUCAGAAGCCAAGCAACAUGCCUUAAUCAUGUUAUUGGAACUUGCAAGCGCAAAAUUCCUUGAAAUUUAAUCAGCAGCCCAGGGUAAAUUUCUUUCUAUGAUUUUUUUUACCAUUGAGCUGAUAUUGUAAUUAUCAUAAGCCAAGCAACAUGCCUUUAUCAUGUUAUUGGAACUUGCAAGCGCAAAAUUUCUUGAAAUAUAAUUAGCAGCCUCUCUGCUAAGAUGUUGAAUUC